AUGCCGCCGGCUCCCCGCAGGAGCCCCCCGAGGUCGGGCCGGGACUCGGCGCCUCUGUCGCGCACACGAGGGCGUCCCCGGUCACCGGGGAGGCGCGCGCUCCUCCAGUCCGCGGGCGGGGCGCACCCCUGCCGGCCCCGGCGAGAGCCCGGCCCAGGCUCCGAGCCCCUGGGCGCCCGGGAGGCGUCUGGAGCGUCCCGCAGCGGAGCCCCUGGGCCGGCGACGGCCCUCAGACGCCACGGCCGGGCGGGGCCCCGUGGGGAGGCCGGGCAGGUCCCGGGGAGGGCGCCGGAGCCGGUCCUGCGGCAGCUCCUUUCCUGCCCCCUCCGCCCUCCCCGGCCCGGCCUCCCGCGGCCUCCGCUCCGCGCGCAGCCUCUCAGGCCUCUUCCCCUGGCUCCCCCACGCACCACUGUCUCUCCUCACACUCCGCCUCCGCUCUCACACCCGCCUCUCCUCUCCUCAAACCCCGCCUCUCCUCUCCCCACACCUCGCCUCUCCUCUCCCCGCACACCCUGCCCCUCCUCUCCUUACACACCCGCCUCUCCUCUCCCCACACCCCGCCUGUCCUCUCCCCACACCCCGCCUCUGCUCUCCGCACACCCCGCCUCUCCUCUCCUCUCCCCCGACCCCUGGCUCUCCUCUCCUCUCCCCACCCCUUCCUCUCCUCUUCUCUCCUCUCCUCUACACACCUGGCCUCUGCUCCCCUCCCCGCCGCCUCCUCCCCGGCCUCCCGCCUCCGUCUUCGCCUGGGGUAGUUGCCCCUUUGAAGCCCCCGCCGGCUUCGCGGCGUCCUCAGCGCUCCCACCACGCGCGGAGCUGCCCUCGGGCCCCUCGGUUUCAGCUCCUUUUCAUCCUUUCCUUCUCAACUUGAUUAAAACCAGCGGAGAAACCGACGUCAGGGGGCGGGGUCAUGUUCGAGGGGGCGGAGCCUACGCUCUGGGGCCGCCCCGCCCCGCCCCGCCCUUCCCCGGCCCGGGCCCCUUUGUGCUGGAGGGCGGGGGCGAGGUCCUAUGGCUGAGGGGGCGGAGCCUAUGCUCAGGAAGGAAGCGAAGCCCCGCCCCGCCCCGUCCGGUCCUCGGCCCCUUUGGGCAGGCGCGCGGGGACACGGCCCGGGCUGUUUCUGCGAGGCCGUGCGUGGCCAGCCGUCCUGAGCCCACAAAGCGACCAGGUGUGUCUCCCAGAUUUAGCAGAGAUGUCUCAGAAAGCGUUGGCUGGAGAAGUCCUUCUGUCUGGGGCAGACGCGCCCGGGCUGCUCCCAGGCCUCCUCUGAGGACAGGCUUGGGGAGCGGGCAGCGUGGGCACCACAUAGGAGGCUCUCGGUGCCCAGGAAGCACAGGGGCAGCGUCUGCCUCCCGGACGCCUGGACGCUGCGGGGGAGCGCCUUCUGCCCAUUGGAGGUUAGAGGAGAUGGGGUGGUGUCCUGAGCGCCAGGCUUCCCCAGGGCGUCCCUCAGAGCCUCAGCGCCUCCUCCCCUGGUUCUCAGCUGCCCGGCCAACUCGGGAUGCAGGGGCCUUGUGGCAGGGGCAGGGGGGCUAG
Molecule: long non-coding RNA, 1536 nt
Filed under: Bos indicus x Bos taurus (hybrid cattle)
Lineage: Eukaryota; Metazoa; Chordata; Mammalia; Artiodactyla; Bovidae
Description: lncRNA (ENSBIXG00005025102.1)
Source: RNAcentral